Molecule: ribosomal RNA, 646 nt
Filed under: Cryptosporidium parvum
Lineage: Eukaryota; Apicomplexa; Conoidasida; Eucoccidiorida; Cryptosporidiidae
Description: SSU rRNA
Rfam family: Eukaryotic small subunit ribosomal RNA
Source: RNAcentral
GGAAGGGUUGUAUUUAUUAGAUAAUACCCAAUAUAAUUGGUGACUCAUAAUAACUUUACGGAUCACAUUAAAUGUGACAUAUCAUUCAAGUUUCUGACCUAUCAGCUUUAGACGGUAGGGUAUUGGCCUACCGUGGCAAUGACGGGUAACGGGGAAUUAGGGUUCGAUUCCGGAGAGGGAGCCUGAGAAACGGCUACCACAUCUAAGGAAGGCAGCAGGCGCGCAUAUUACCCAAUCCUAAUACAGGGAGGUAGUGACAAGAAAUAACAAUACAGGACUUUUUGGUUUUGUAAUUGGAAUGAGUUAAGUAUAAACCCCUUUACAAGUAUCAAUUGGAGGGCAAGUCUGGUGCCAGCAGCCGCGGUAAUUCCAGCUCCAAUAGCGUAUAUUAAAGUUGUUGCAGUUAAAAAGCUCGUAGUUGGAUUUCUGUUAAUAAUUUAUAUAAAAUAUUUUGAUGAAUAUUUAUAUAAUAUUAACAUAAUUCAUAUUACCUAUAUAUUUUAGUAUAUGAAAUUUUUACUUUGAGAAAAUUAGAGUGCUUAAAGCAGGCAUAUGCCUUGAAUACUCCAGCAUGGAAUAAUAUUAAAGAUUUUCAUCUUUCCUAAUUGUUCUCAGAUAAGAAUAAUGAUUUAUAGGGACAGUUGGG